This 2007-nucleotide ribosomal RNA is filed under the name activated sludge metagenome. RNAcentral describes it as "bacterial LSU rRNA". It matches the Rfam family "Bacterial large subunit ribosomal RNA", at positions 1 to 1985 of the family's 2925-position model. The record is from RNAcentral.
GGAAGUAUGUAAGAGUGCAUGGGGGAUGCCUUGGUUUCCACUGGCGAGGAAGGACGUGGCAGGCUGCGAAAAGCUUCAGGGAGGUGCCGAGCGACCGGUGAUCUGGAGAUAUCCGAAUGGGGUAACCCGUUAUGUAGAGAUACAUAACACUAUAGCGAAGAGCUAUAGAGCGAACCUGGUGAACUGAACCAUCUAAGUAACCAGAGGAAGAGAAAACAAUAGUGAUUACCUAAGUAGUGGCGAGCGAAAGGGUAAGAGCCCAAACCAUAUAAGUUUAGGCAUAUAUGGGGUAGUAGGCCACACUAGUCCCUGAAGGGAUAAGAUAUAGGAUAUAUAGUGGAACUAACUGGAAAGUUAGGCCGCAGAGGGUGAAAGCCCCGUACACGAAAUAUUGAAUAUAUUGAUGUGUGAGCCUGAGUACUGCGAGACACGAGGAAUCUAGCAGGAAGCAGCCAGGACCAUCUGGCAAGGCUAAAUACAAGUGGAAGACCGAUAGAGGACGAGUACCGUGAGGGGAAGGUGAAAAGCAUCGUGAAUAACGAGGUGAAAUAGACCUGAAACCAUGCACUUACAAGCGGUCGGAGCCUUAUGAGAAUAGGGUGACGGCGUGCCUUUUGCAUAAUGAGCCUACGAGUUAAUUAUACUAGCGAGGUUAAUCGGAGAAAAACUGAGGAGCCGUAGCGAAAGCGAGUUUUAAAAGGGCGAAAUAGUUAGUAUAAUUAGACGCGAAACUUAGUGAUCUACCCAUGGCCAGGCUGAAGUUCAUGUAACAGUGGAUGGAGGGCCGAACUAGUGAACGUUGAAAAGUUCUUGGAUGAGCUGUGGGUAGGGGUGAAAGGCCAAACAAACUAAGAGAUAGCUCGUACUCUUCGAAAUGCCUUUAGGGGCAGCCUCAUAGGGUAAUCAAUAGAGGUAAGGCGCUGAUUGGACUAGGGGUCGCGAGACUACCGAAUCCAGACAAACUGAGAAUGCUAUUGAUGUAACUAUGGGAGUGAGGGCGUGGGUGCUAAGGUCCAUGUCCGAGAGGGGGACAACCCAGACUAUCAGCUAAGGUCCCGAAGUUAACAAUAAGUUGGAAUAAAACGAGGUCAAACUGCGUAGACAGCUAGGAUGUUGGCUUGGAAGCAGCCAUCAUUUAAAGAGUGCGUAACAGCUCACUAGUCGAGCGGGGUGGCGUGGAAAAUGAGCGGGCAUAAAUUGUUACACCGAAGCUAUAGUUAAUCUAUGAAUAAAUAGGUUAAGGUAGAAGAGCAUUCUAUUGGCGUAGAAGGAUAUUUGCGAGAAUAUCUGGAGCGAAUAGAAGAGAAAAUGUAGGCAUGAGUAACGAUAAUCACGGAUAGAAUACGUGACACCGAAAGACUAAGGGUUUCUGAUCUACGUUCGACGAAUCAGAGUUAGUCGGAGCCUAAGGAUAACUGGGUGACUGGGAGUCCGAUGGUAAACUGGUUAAUAAUCCAGUACCUAUAAUACACGAGGUGAAGGGGGGACAGAGGAGUGACAGGUUUGCGUGCUGACGGAAUAGCACGUUAAAGGGUGUAGAUAAAUACAUGGUAGGAAAAUCCGCCAAGUAUGUCGAACCUGAUAGUACCGAGAUCCGUAAGGAGAUUGGAAAAUGACCGUAAACAUACUUUCAAGAAAAGCCUCUAAACCGAUUGAGUGUAUAAUAGACCGUACCGUAAACCGACACAGGUAGUUGGGGAGAGAAUCUUAAGGUGCGCGAGAGAAUCAUGGCUAAGGAACUCGGCAAAAUAGCCCCGUAACUUAGGGAGAAGGGGUCCCACUGAGAAGUGGGCGCAGGAAGUGGCCCAGGCGACUGUUUACCAAAAACACAGGGCUAUGCAAAAUUGAAAGAUGAAGUAUAUAGCCUGACACCUGCCCGGUGCCGGAAGGUUAAAGGGAGGGGUUAUCCUUCGCAAGGAGGAGAAGCUCUGAACUGAAGCCCCGGUAAACGGCGGCCGUAACUAUAACGGUCCUAAGGUAGCGAAAUUCCUUGUCGGGUAAGUUCCG